Molecule: long non-coding RNA, 236 nt
Filed under: Manihot esculenta (cassava)
Lineage: Eukaryota; Viridiplantae; Streptophyta; Magnoliopsida; Malpighiales; Euphorbiaceae
Description: long non-coding RNA (MESC_LNC006845)
Source: RNAcentral
CUUUGCCUUUGUCACCCUUGUCAUUGCUUCCCUUCUUUCCUUCUUCCCUUCUUUCCUUCUUCCCUUCUUUCUUGGCUUGCUUCUAUUUGUGCCUUGCUUGAAAAGCACCUUCAAAGACAUCUCCUUCCUUCAUAAUAGCCCUUUGCUCUUGAACUUACAACUUACUCAAAAGCUUAGAAAUUCUCAUAGUUUUAAGAUCACAAAAUUCUUUAAUUGCAGAAAUCUUGGACUCAAAC